Molecule: ribosomal RNA, 403 nt
Filed under: uncultured bacterium
Lineage: Bacteria
Description: partial 16S ribosomal RNA
Rfam family: Bacterial small subunit ribosomal RNA
Source: RNAcentral
GACGAACGCUGGCGGCGUGCCUAAUACAUGCAAGUCGAACGCAGUGGGGACGGGUGAGUAACACGUGGGUAACCUCCCAUCAGAGGGGAUAACACUUGGAAACAGGUGCUAAACCGAUACUGAUGGAUGGACCCGCGGUGCAUUAGCUAGUGGGUGAGGUAACGGCCCACCAAGGCCACGAUGCAUAGCCGAGCUGAGAGGGUUGUCAGCCACACUGGGACUGAGACACGGCCCAUACGCCUACGGGAGGCAGCAGUAGGGAAUCUUCGGCAAUGGACGAAAGGCUGACCGAGCAACGCCGCGGGAGUGAAGAAGGUGUUCGGGUCGUAAAACUCUGUUGUUAGAGAAGCGGUAUCUAACGAGGAAGCCACGGCUAACUACGUGCCAGCAGCCGCGGUAAUUC